Vicia faba (fava bean) is the source of this 354-nucleotide non-coding RNA. NCBI's taxonomy places the organism in Eukaryota, Viridiplantae, Streptophyta, Magnoliopsida, Fabales, Fabaceae. The record is from the annotation of a GenBank genome assembly.
AUGUCCAGCUCCUUCUAUUCUAUAGUUCCUUCCCCCUUUCCUUCACCACCAGCUGGAGCGCAGUCUUCGCCGGUCUCAAGACAGACCCCAACCCCAAGCGGGCACGGUGACAAGACUUUGAUGUGGGGUUCGGAAGAUAGGCUUGCAACGGAUUCAACCGAUCGAUUCCCCGUGGCAUAUAAAGAUUGGCGAAGCAUAAGGUUAGUAACAUCGGUGCUGAUAACUUCCUUUUCUCCUUCGGGGGUGGGCUUUGUAGGAGUUGGGCGAGAUGCAAGACUUUUUCCUCAAGGAGUUAGAGCAGAAGUUGUUUACUCGUAUAAAAGAAUAAGACCGACUUACCAUUCUAUUAAAUAA